CUCGCCAGGAGAAUGGACAUCUGCUGUCGGGAAAUCAGAGCCGUGGUAGCCAGCCGUAGCCAACCAGGGUUCACUCGGAGACACACAGGCGCUACCGGAGCAAUGACUAACUUUGCCUCUUAAUGGGGUCGUGACCUCCUCUUUGCUCGGAGCUGUCUGCAAGUCAUUCAAGCAAUUAGGUAAACUCCAGGUUGCUGUCCAUAGAGGACUGCUGCUCUGGAGUCGAAAAACUGUGCGGGAGAGACAAACUUUGAGAAAAGAUGGGUGAACAAUCCCAAGCUUGCGGAAGCAUGCCGUCUUCACAACUCGGAGACAAAUUGCAGGCGCUACGAACCGGAGCAAGGACUAAUCUUGCCUCAUAAUGAGGCGGUGACCUCCUAUUUGCUCGGAGCAAUAUCUGCAAGUCCACACAAUGUUGAUAAAGACGACAUUGUGUCCGCCUGUAAGACAUACGAGACGGUACACAGGAGCUUUAGGUAUACCCAGCCAGAAAACUCAUUGCGGGCGGAAGCUGCAAAGAGUUCAGCUCGGAGUCGAGCGAGAAGAAAGAGGCUGCUGGAAUCGAGACAGAGUGUGCUAGCAGAUGACGAGGUGGAACU
This is a long non-coding RNA of Alosa sapidissima (American shad), 599 nucleotides long. RefSeq lists it as uncharacterized. NCBI's taxonomy places the organism in Eukaryota, Metazoa, Chordata, Actinopteri, Clupeiformes, Clupeidae. The record is from RefSeq and is a predicted model, not a curated record. The transcript is spliced from 6 exons.